This 484-nucleotide ribosomal RNA is filed under the name uncultured bacterium. Its description in RNAcentral is "partial 16S ribosomal RNA". It matches the Rfam family "Bacterial small subunit ribosomal RNA", at positions 30 to 507 of the family's 1533-position model. The record is from RNAcentral.
AUUGAACGCUGGCGGCAGGCCUAACACAUGCAAGUCGAGCGGAUGAAGGGGGCUUGCUCCUGGAUUCAGCGGCGGACGGGUGAGUAAUGCCUAGGAAUCUGCCUGGUAGUGGGGGAUAACGUCCGGAAACGGGCGCUAAUACCGCAUACGUCCUGAGGGAGAAAGUGGGGGAUCUUCGGACCUCACGCUAUCAGAUGAGCCUAGGUCGGAUUAGCUAGUUGGUGGGGUAAAGGCCUACCAAGGCGACGAUCCGUAACUGGUCUGAGAGGAUGAUCAGUCACACUGGAACUGAGACACGGUCCAGACUCCUACGGGAGGCAGCAGUGGGGAAUAUUGGACAAUGGGCGAAAGCCUGAUCCAGCCAUGCCGCGUGUGUGAAGAAGGUCUUCGGAUUGUAAAGCACUUUAAGUUGGGAGGAAGGGCAGUAAGUUAAUACCUUGCUGUUUUGACGUUACCAACAGAAUAAGCACCGGCUAACUUCGCG